UUGACCUCAAAUCGGGUAGGACUACCCGCUGAACUUAA
This 38-nucleotide ribosomal RNA is filed under the name Sidera lowei. RNAcentral describes it as "partial 28S ribosomal RNA". The record is from RNAcentral. Lineage: Eukaryota; Fungi; Basidiomycota; Agaricomycetes; Hymenochaetales; Rickenellaceae.